ACAUGCAAGUCGAGCGGAAGAUGGGAGCUUGCUCCCUGAUGUUAGCGGCGGACGGGUGAGUAACACGUGGGUAACCUGCCUGUAAGACUGGGAUAACUCCGGGAAACCGGGGCUAAUACCGGAUGGUUGUUUGAACCGCAUGGUUCAAACAUAAAAGGUGGCUUCGGCUACCACUUACAGAUGGACCCGCGGCGCAUUAGCUAGUUGGUGAGGUAACGGCUCACCAAGGCGACGAUGCGUAGCCGACCUGAGAGGGUGAUCGGCCACACUGGGACUGAGACACGGCCCAGACUCCUACGGGAGGCAGCAGUAGGGAAUCUUCCGCAAUGGACGAAAGUCUGACGGAGCAACGCCGCGUGAGUGAUGAAGGUUUUCGGAUCGUAAAGCUCUGUUGUUAGGGAAGAACAAGUACCGUUCGAAUAGGGCGGUACCUUGACGGUACCUAACCAGAAAGCCACGGCUAACUACGUGCCAGCAGCCGCGGUAAUACGUAGGUGGCAAGCGUUGUCCGGAAUUAUUGGGCGUAAAGGGCUCGCAGGCGGUUUCUUAAGUCUGAUGUGAAAGCCCCCGGCUCAACCGGGGAGGGUCAUUGGAAACUGGGGAACUUGAGUGCAGAAGAGGAGAGUGGAAUUCCACGUGUAGCGGUGAAAUGCGUAGAGAUGUGGAGGAACACCAGUGGCGAAGGCGACUCUCUGGUCUGUAACUGACGCUGAGGAGCGAAAGCGUGGGGAGCGAACAGGAUUAGAUACCCUGGUAGUCCACGCCGUAAACGAUGAGUGCUAAGUGUUAGGGGGUUUCCGCCCCUUAGUGCUGCAGCUAACGCAUUAAGCACUCCGCCUGGGGAGUACGGUCGCAAGACUGAAACUCAAAGGAAUUGACGGGGGCCCGCACAAGCGGUGGAGCAUGUGGUUUAAUUCGAAGCAACGCGAAGAACCUUACCAGGUCUUGACAUCCUCUGACAAUCCUAGAGAUAGGACGUCCCCUUCGGGGGCAGAGUGACAGGUGGUGCAUGGUUGUCGUCAGCUCGUGUCGUGAGAUGUUGGGUUAAGUCCCGCAACGAGCGCAACCCUUGAUCUUAGUUGCCAGCAUUCAGUUGGGCACUCUAAGGUGACUGCCGGUGACAAACCGGAGGAAGGGGGGGAUGACGUCAAAUCAUCAUGCCCCUUAUGACCUGGGCUACACCCGUGCUCCAAUGGACAGAACAAAGGGCAGCGAAACCGCGAGGUUAAGCCAAUCCCAAAAAUCUGUUCUCAGUUAGGAU
Molecule: ribosomal RNA, 1261 nt
Filed under: Bacillus subtilis subsp. subtilis
Lineage: Bacteria; Bacillati; Bacillota; Bacilli; Caryophanales; Bacillaceae
Description: bacterial SSU rRNA
Rfam family: Bacterial small subunit ribosomal RNA
Source: RNAcentral